Molecule: long non-coding RNA, 861 nt
Organism: Xiphophorus hellerii (green swordtail)
Lineage: Eukaryota; Metazoa; Chordata; Actinopteri; Cyprinodontiformes; Poeciliidae
Exons: 2
Source: RefSeq, a predicted model, not a curated record
UAGGCCUGAAAACAGGUUUUGUUUUUUGGUUUCAAUGUAGAGUAUUUAAUUAUGCUGUAUAAUAAUUGUAAAAAAUAAAGGUAACUACUUCACGGAUUUCACCUAUUACUGGUUCUUUUCGGAACACAACCCGUGCGAAAAACGAGGGUUCACUGUAAUCCCACAGAAAAGCCGAAAAAAAGAAGCUCUGGAAAAAAGAAACUAGACAUAAGAAGUAAAUUACAGAAAGAGACUACAUGCCAUUAGUCCAUCAGUAACUCUACAUUGGAAAAAACUGUUUCUACAGACAUAACUUGAAUUCAUGUACACAAGAACUGUUAAUUGAAUAUUCUGCAUAAAGUUCUGUCACUUCAAUCAAAAAUCGAUGUAUCCCGAUCUGAAUAACUAAGGCAUUUUUUAAUAUAGCUAGACUCUCAUAACAUAUUUAAUUUACAAGAAAAUCCAAAAAAUAAUUCUUGCAAAGAUCACCUGGUCAAUAGGAGUACUGUACCUUGUGUUUGUUCAAUGUUGUUCUGGAUGUCCGCUCUUUCAAAUCCUUUAUUAGAUUCUGCUCUUUCUAAUUCUAAUCAAAAGAUUAAGAAUUCAGUAGUUUCUCAUUCAGUUAAAAUCUUGUCACAUAUAAGAAAACAUUAUGGAUGGACAGUCACAUCAGUUCUUAGUCCAUUGAUAAAUAACCACACAUUCCCUCUAUCAGCCCUAAAUGUAUUUCUUAAUCAGUGGAAACAUAAAGGGAUUCAAUGUACAAAAGAUGUAUUUUUUGAAAAGGCUUUUACAUUUACAUUUCAACAAUUACAUAGCAAAUUUAAUAUGGAAAGUAAAGAUUUUUUUUUUUAAAUACUUACAGUCUCAAGAACAGAUUUC